AGUGAACGCUGGCGGUAGGCCUAACACAUGCAAGUCGAACGGCAGCACAGUAAUAGCUUGCUCUUCCGGGUGGCGAGUCGCGGACGGGUGAGGAAUACAUCGGAAUCUACUUUUUCGUGGGGGAUAACGUAGGGGAACUUACGCUAAUACCGCAUACGACCUACGGGUGAAAGCAGGGGAUCUUCGGACCUUGCGCGAUUGAAUGAGCCGAUGUCGGAUUAGCUAGUUGGCGGGGUAAAGGCCCACCAAGGCGACGAUCCGUAGCUGGUCUGAGAGGAUGAUCAGCCACACUGGAACUGGGACACGGUCCAGACUCCUACGGGAGGCAGCAGUGGGGAAUAUUGGACAGUGGGCGCAAGCCUGAUCCAGCCAUACCGCGUGGGUGAAGAAGGCCUUGGGGUUGUAAAGCCCUUUUGUUGGGAAAGAAAAGCAGCAGGUUAAUACCACGCUGUUCUGACGGUACCCAAAGAAUAAGCACCGGCUAACUUCGUG
RNAcentral lists this ribosomal RNA (492 nucleotides) under uncultured bacterium. RNAcentral's name for it is "partial 16S ribosomal RNA". It matches the Rfam family "Bacterial small subunit ribosomal RNA", at positions 29 to 507 of the family's 1533-position model. The record is from RNAcentral.